AAAAUGUUGGAGCCAUUUUUGGAGGUCAACACUAUAUAUAACAGUAUUUAAAAUUCCAAUUCAUUUUUACCAAACCCUAGCUUCCAAGAUCCUCAUUUCGGAUAUGUAUUCAAAAACUGCACAGAUCAAAUAAACAAAUCAAUACGAAAGGAAAAGUCAGAUUAGAUUUCAGAGAUGCCUUACCCACAUCUUACGAGGCUCUGAUAUCAAUUUUGUUAGGAUUUCAUGUACUAAAAUAGACAGAAAGUAAAUCACCGAAUAAUAAACUCGUAUAAAAUGGUAAUAUCAACAUAAGAAAUGGUCACCUAGUUUGGCAUCGCCUAAUCUGGGGGCUCAGAGCUAAAGAGCCCAUCACUAUGCACAAAGAACCGUCAAAGAAAGAGUUUGAGAUUAGAGUACAACAAUCAGACCAAACACACUGUCAUUGAUCUAUAUAAAUCUCAAGAAAAACAACCCCUAAUCGACUCAAAACUGUAACAAGUAUAGACAAGACUCUAUAUAGUUUAAUCAACUAUAAGAACAUUGAAAACUUCUACAGAUGAUAACUAUACAUAGUCACGAACCAAAUCUGACCAUACACUACACCAAAAAGUCAGAAAUUAGAAACUAGAUUUGAUUUACAGUGAAUACCACCGGUCUUGAAGAGGUGAGGUUACACAAGAGUUUAGAGAGAGAAAAGUAAGAGGUUGAAAGAAUGAAUGAAUGAAAAUCAAUCAGACGAGCCAGCUCAAGAGUGUAAAAUAUGCCUUUAAGCCACAGCCGUUAGAUCCACGUCAACGAUCCAAAUCAGCCACAAGAAACACGGAUCCAAAUCACCAUAAAUCAACUAACAGAUUUAUGCUAAGUGGUUUUUUUCACUUUUGAAAACCAACUUGGAAAACACAUUUUACAAUGCCCGAAUGUUGGUUAGCUCUGUAAAUGCUUUUGGGAAGGAGAGGAACUGCUUGCACUUUGAUGAGUUUGCAUUUUAUGAGCCAAAGAGGCCAGUUGCUGCUGGAGUUGAAUUUGUGAUUUAUGGGUAAGUUUAAGAGAAAUUGGGUUUUGUAUUUUGUGUUUCUAAUAUUGAUUUAUGGUUUUAUAGAGACGACAGUGGUGAAUGGUGGUGGGGAAAGAGAAAAAACGAAGAGGAAGUGAAUUUU
This 1139-nucleotide long non-coding RNA is filed under the name Olea europaea subsp. europaea. The record is from RNAcentral. Lineage: Eukaryota; Viridiplantae; Streptophyta; Magnoliopsida; Lamiales; Oleaceae.